GGCCAUCCCUUCGGUUCCUCAAGCAUCAUGCCGGCCAAACCAGCCCCCAUCAAGAAAGCCCCCUUGAAGAAGGCAGCCCCCAAGGCCGAGGCGAAGCCCAGCGAGCCCGCCCCGGCCCCCGAGCCGCCUGCCCCCGCUCCCCCCGCCGAGGCGCCCCCGGCUGAGCCGGCUCCCGCACCGGUGGAGGCAGCGCCGGCAGCCGAGGAAGCGGCACCGGCCGCGCCUGCAGAAGCUGCAGCUGCUGAUGACGCGUCUGCCGCCGCUCCUGCCGCUUCCGAGGCGCCUGCAGAGGCUCCUGUAGCACCUCCACCAGAACAACCCAAAGCACCGACCCCUCCUCCUCCGGCAGUUCCCACAAGCGAACCGCUGAACUUGAACGUGGAUGACGUCAAUGACACGUCCGUCACCAUCAAAUGGAAGACACCAGAGAAUCUCGGGGACUCUGGCCUGGACGGGUACACUGUGGAAUACUGUAAAGACCAGACUUCCGACUGGGUGGUGGCCAACCCUGAGCUGGUAGUCACAAACCGCUACGUCAUCAAGGAUCUGACCGCCGGGGAUCUGCUGCACAUCCGCGUGAAGGCGGUCAACGCGGGAGGCCCCAGCGCCCCUGGUACCCUGGCUGAGCCCAUCCGGGUGCGUGAGGUGGUCGAUCGCCCAAAGAUCCGACUGCCCCGCUUCUUGAGAUCCAGGUUUGUCAAGAAAGUUGGCGAGCAGGUCAACCUCGUCAUCCCCUUCCACGGUAAACCCAAACCCACUGUGACCUGGACCAAGGAAGGGCAACCUGUGGAUCCAAAGAAGGUCAGCGUGCGCAACACCGACAGGGAUAGCAUCUUGUUCAUCCGCAAGGCCGAGAGGGAUGACUCCGGCAAGUACGAAAUGUGCGUUAAGGUCGAGAGUUUUGAGGACAAGGUCAUGAUCGUCAUCCAGAUUGUCGAGCUCCCUGGACCUCCUACCGGUAUCAAACUUGUGGACACCUGGGGCUUCAAUGCUGCCUUGGAAUGGACUGCACCCAAGGACAAGGGGAAUACAGAAAUCACCGGGUAUACCGUGCAAAAGGCUGACAAAAAGACCGGGGAGUGGUUCAGCGUUCUGGAGCACUACCACAGACUGAACGCGACCGUCUCUGACCUCGUCAUGGGAAACUCGUACUCCUUCCGGGUCUUCUCAGAGAACAAGGUCGGCAGGAGCGAGCAGGCCGCCGUGACGAAGGCGUUCGCCACCAUCCAGAAAACAGGUAUCGUCUACAAGCCUCCAGAGUACCAGGAGCACAACUUCACCGAAGCCCCCAAGUUCACCACAGCCCUGAGCAACAGAGCAGCCACCGUGGGCUAUACCACUAAGCUGCUGUGCUCCGUGCGGGGAUACCCUAAGCCCAAAAUCGAGUGGAUGAAGAACCAGAUGAUCAUCGGCGACGACCCCAAGUUCCGGCAAAUCAACAACCAGGGAGUGUGCUCCCUGGAGAUCCGCAAGCCCUGCAGCUUCGACGGUGGAGUCUACACCUGCCGGGCCAAGAACGUCCAUGGGGAAGCUUCAGUGGCCUGCAAGCUGGAGGUCAAGCAGGUUAUGCUUCCAGAUGCAGAGAAGAAAUAGAGACACAUCCUGAUGUAGGCAGUUUCAAAUUAGGACCAGCAGGAGCAGAGCUGUUGAAAAGGAGCAGUUGUGAAGGUGGAUGAAGAUGGAAUGAAACACUGUGAUAAUCUUGAAGGAGAGAGGGGGGGUGCUUGAGGAGUGUCAUGUUCAAUGGGGUCUCAGAAGGUUCAAAUGACACCUCAUCGCAGAUCGCAUUUGGGUGAAAAAUACAUCAGUUUUGUACAAUAAAUGUUAGAAUGUAACAAUAUACCGAAUUGCACAAAAUUCUUCCUGACUGUGUCCUGUACCGAAAAACUCUGAACAAGUCUGUAACCAAAUAAAAGAGCAAAUCAACAUAUACUGCAUAAUAAUAACUGUAUGGAAGCUCCUCGAUAUUUAUUCAUUAAAAUGUAUAUUUUGAUUCUCUGA
Molecule: RNA transcript, 2001 nt
Organism: Paramormyrops kingsleyae
Lineage: Eukaryota; Metazoa; Chordata; Actinopteri; Osteoglossiformes; Mormyridae
Gene: mybpha
Gene name: myosin binding protein Ha
Source: RefSeq, a predicted model, not a curated record